Molecule: ribosomal RNA, 447 nt
Filed under: uncultured Coriobacteriaceae bacterium
Lineage: Bacteria; Bacillati; Actinomycetota; Coriobacteriia; Coriobacteriales; Coriobacteriaceae
Description: bacterial SSU rRNA
Rfam family: Bacterial small subunit ribosomal RNA
Source: RNAcentral
CCUACGGGGGGCAGCAGUGGGGAAUCUUGCACAAUGGGCGAAAGCCUGAUGCAGCGACGCCGCGUGCGGGAUGAAGGCCUUCGGGUUGUAAACCGCUUUCAGCAGGGACGAGGCCGCAAGGUGACGGUACCUGCAGAAGAAGCCCCGGCUAACUACGUGCCAGCAGCCGCGGUAAUACGUAGGGGGCAAGCGUUAUCCGGAUUCAUUGGGCGUAAAGAGCUCGUAGGCGGCCCGUUAGGUCAGGAGUCAAAUUCGGGGGCUCAACCCCCGCGCGCUCCUGAUACCGGCGGGCUUGAGUUUGGUAGGGGAAGGUGGAAUUCCCAGUGUAGCGGUGGAAUGCGCAGAUAUUGGGAAGAACACCGGUGGCGAAGGCGGCCUUCUGGGCCAUAACUGACGCUGAGGAGCGAAAGCUAGGGGAGCGAACAGGAUUAGAUACCCGAGUAGUCC